AUCAUAAACUCUAAACAAACAUCCGAUCUGGGAUAAAUCAGCCAUCAAAGUAGCUACCAAAGCUGUUCUUCACGAAGAACAGUUCGAGGUGCCUAAUUUGGACCUCUAUAACUUGAUGAUCGUGUAACGUUUAUGUGAUCUAUCAAUACCAGUGUGUAGACAACAUGUAGGAAUACAACUCUAACACUUAACAUCAUCAUAACAACAAGAAAUCAAGCAUCUAAAGUAUGGUCAAACCUUGUUAGAAAAAUUAACACUUAGAAAAUUCUGGGCUGCCCAGAAUUUUCUGGUCAAUGCCGGUCAACCCACUUUGACCUUAAAUAACUCUUAAUCCGUAAUAUAUAUGGACCUGAUUCUUUUUGGAGGUUACAUACCACAUAACAAGCUACACAUAUCAACCUUUAGAACACAAAACAAAUUACAGAUGACCGAGAUAUAAGGCCUGAUAUUUUCCAAAAAAAUAUUUUCUGGACACUUAGAAUAUUUUCUGGGUUUGAAAAACAGUCGGUCAAUGCCGGUCAACCCACUUUGACCGCUUAUAAAUCCCGAUCUACAAUAGAUAUAGACCUUAUGCUUUUUGGAGGUUAAAGACCACAUAUCAGGCUACCUAUAACAACUUUUAAACAACAAAACUCG
This 636-nucleotide long non-coding RNA is filed under the name Panax ginseng (ginseng). RNAcentral describes it as "long non-coding RNA (PGIN_LNC010926)". Lineage: Eukaryota; Viridiplantae; Streptophyta; Magnoliopsida; Apiales; Araliaceae. The record is from RNAcentral.